RNAcentral lists this ribosomal RNA (253 nucleotides) under uncultured bacterium. RNAcentral describes it as "partial 16S ribosomal RNA". It matches the Rfam family "Bacterial small subunit ribosomal RNA", at positions 524 to 776 of the family's 1533-position model. The record is from RNAcentral.
UACGUAGGGUGCGAGCGUUGUCCGGAAUUAUUGGGCGUAAAGAGCUUGUAGGCGGUUUGUCGCGUCUGCUGUGAAAUUCCAGGGCUUAACCCUGGGCUUGCAGUGGGUACGGGCAGACUAGAGUGUGGUAGGGGAGACUGGAAUUCCUGGUGUAGCGGUGAAAUGCGCAGAUAUCAGGAGGAACACCGGUGGCGAAGGCGGGUCUCUGGGCCGUAACUGACGCUGAGGAGCGAAAGCGUGGGGAGCGAACAGG